Long non-coding RNA from Doryrhamphus excisus (bluestripe pipefish), 834 nucleotides. RefSeq lists it as uncharacterized. The record is from RefSeq and is a predicted model, not a curated record. Lineage: Eukaryota; Metazoa; Chordata; Actinopteri; Syngnathiformes; Syngnathidae.
GGAAGAGCUAUCAAGUAAGAAAACACGCGGUAAUAUUCAACACAAAAUGUGGCCAGAUAAACAUAAAUAAUAAGUGUCGUAUUUAAUGAAUCAAUCGUUAGUCCGGAGUGUAAACAUAUAACCGUUUUCAGUGUAGUCAGUUUGCAUCCUCUGUUCGUAUCGGGAAUAUUUGCUAGUGUUGUGACUAGCACGUACAAAAUAACGACAAAAUUCACUAUAUGGAGCUGAAUCAAGAGUCAACAAGUAUAUUGACAAAAGAUGGCAGUAUUGCGCCAUGUUGAAUUGCUAAGGACUGCACGAUAAACAAGUUGAUGUUCAGACAGUCACCGCCUCAGGGGACUCAGCUGAGAGGUGCAAAGUCAGUUUUCAUGUCAAUCACUGGCAGCAAGAGAGUGAGGCUGCCACCACCUAAUGGAGUGUGAGAAAUCCAUGCGUGGUCACAUGAUGUGCAUGGUCACCGGCCACUCGGGUGCAGACUGCAGGGCCAGAUGGAUGAAAGCAGAAUGUGGAGAGAGGAUGAUCACGCCGGUCACAUUUGCCAGGCAGGAUGUUUUUAAGCUAGUCAUUCUUUUUUUUUUUUUUUUUUUUUUUUUUCUUCUUGUCACCAAAUGGCCAAGUUGUUUAGUCAUUACUCACUGAUUCAUAUGAGGUGACAGAGAUGAAGUACUGACGCCGCACAUUCUUCUUCCUGAGCUGAAAUGCAAGCAUGACCAAAUAAUUGGAUGUGUACUUCAUGAAAAUGGUACAAAACAUACUCAUUUGUUUGCAAUAUCGCUGGUUUAAUGACGUUCAUUUGCAUAGCUCAGGUUAACGAUGAUCAAAUAUAUGAACCUG